This 229-nucleotide ribosomal RNA is filed under the name uncultured bacterium. RNAcentral describes it as "partial 16S ribosomal RNA". It matches the Rfam family "Bacterial small subunit ribosomal RNA", at positions 568 to 796 of the family's 1533-position model. The record is from RNAcentral.
GGUGUAGGCGGUUUUGUAAGUCAGAAGUGAAAGCCCUGGGCUCAACCCAGGAAGUGCUUUUGAUACUACUUAACUUGAGUAUGGGAGAGGGAAGCAGAAUUCCUGGUGUAGUGGUGAAAUACGUAGAUAUCAGGAGGAACACCGGAGGCGAAGGCGGCUUCCUGGCCCAAUACUGACGCUCAGACCCGAAAGCGUGGGUAGCAAACAGGAUUAGAUACCCUGGUAGUCC